AGGGAGUUUGAUCCUGGCUCAGGAUGAACGCUAGCUACAGGCCUAACACAUGCAAGUCGCGGGGCAGCAUGGGCGUAGCAAUACGCCUGAUGGCGACCGGCGCACGGGUGCGUAACGCGUAUCCAACCUGGCCCUUACUCGGGUAUAGCCCUGCGAAAGUAGGAUUAAUCCCCGAUGUUGUCAAGCGAUAGCCUUUUCACUUGACCAAAGAGUUUUUCGGUAAGGGAUGGGGAUGCGUUCCAUUAGCUAGUUGGCGGGGUAACGGCCCACCAAGGCAACGAUGGAUAGGGGUUCUGAGAGGAAGGUCCCCCACACUGGAACUGAGACACGGUCCAGACUCCUACGGGAGGCAGCAGUGAGGAAUAUUGGUCAAUGGCCGCAAGGCUGAACCAGCCAAGUAGCGUGAAGGAUGACGGCCCUCCGGGUUGUAAACUUCUUUUGUCGGAGAUUAAGGUGGCCCACGCGUUGGGUCAUUGCAGUAAUCCGUCGAAUAAGCAUCGGCUAACUCCGUGCCAGCAGCCGCGGUAAUACGGAGGAUGCGAGCGUUAUCCGGAUUUAUUGGGUUUAAAGGGAGCGUAGAUGGGACGUUAAGCCAGUUGUGAAAAGCGCGGGCCCAACCCGCGUCGUGCAAUUGGAACUGGUGUUCUUGAGUAGGUUCGGGGCAGGUGGAAUUCGUGGUGUAGCGGUGAAAUGCUUAGAUAUCACGAAGAACUCCGACAGCGCAGGCAGCCUGCCAGGCCCUUACUGACAUUGAAGCUCGAAGGUGCGGGUAUCAAACAGGAUUAGAUACCCUGGUAGUCCCCU
This 804-nucleotide ribosomal RNA is filed under the name uncultured Bacteroidota bacterium. RNAcentral describes it as "bacterial SSU rRNA". It matches the Rfam family "Bacterial small subunit ribosomal RNA", at positions 1 to 799 of the family's 1533-position model. Lineage: Bacteria; Pseudomonadati; Bacteroidota. The record is from RNAcentral.